This 1802-nucleotide ribosomal RNA is filed under the name uncultured alpha proteobacterium MB12A07. Its description in RNAcentral is "bacterial LSU rRNA". It matches the Rfam family "Bacterial large subunit ribosomal RNA", at positions 1 to 1958 of the family's 2925-position model. Lineage: Bacteria; Pseudomonadati; Pseudomonadota; Alphaproteobacteria; Candidatus Pelagibacterales. The record is from RNAcentral.
UGCAUAAAUCAAGCGUUUAAGGGCGUGUGGCGGAUGCCUUGGCACUAAAAGACGAUGAAGGACGUGGUAUACUGCGAAAAGUUUCGGGGAACUGUAUGCAAGUUUUGAUCCGAAAAUUUCCGAAUGGGGAAACCCUACACUUUAUGUGUAACUUUAAAUUGAAUACAUAGAUUUAAAGAGAUAACCUGGAGAACUGAAACAUCUAAGUAACCAGAGGAAAAGAAAUCAAUUGAGAUUCCGUUAGUAGUGGCGAGCGAAAGCGGAAUAGGCCAGUAAUAAAUUUAAGAAAAUUUGAAUAGUAUGGAAAUGCUAACCAAAGAUGGUGAUAGUCCAGUAGAAGUAAUGCUUAAAUUUGUUCUUGAGUAAAGCGGGACACGUGAAAUCUUGCUCGAAUAUAGGGGGACCACCCUCUAAGCCUAAAUACUCUUUAGUGACCGCUAGUGAACUAGUACCGUGAGGGAAAGGUGAAAAGAACCCCUAUUAGGGGAGUGAAAUAGAACCUGAAACCGCAUGGCUACAAUCAGUCGAAGCUCUUUUUAGAGUGACGGCGUACCUUUUGUAUAAUGGGUCAGUGACUUAAUUUAUUAAGCGAGCUUAAGCCAUCUAGGUGUAGGCGUAGCGAAAGCAAGUCUUAAUAGGGCGAUUAGUUUAAUGAAUUAGACCCGAAAACGAAUGAGCUUACCAUGAGCAGGUUGAAUGCAAGGUAACACUUGCUGGAGGACCGAACCAGUUGACGUUGAAAAGUCUUUGGAUGACUUGUGGUAAGGGGUGAAAGGCCAACCAAAUUCGUAGAUAGCUGGUUUUCCGCGAAAACUAUUUAGGUAGUGCGAUGGAUAAAUAUAUAUUUAGAGGUAGAGCACUAAAUGGGCUAGGGGGAAGAGAUUCUUACCAAACCUAAUAAAACUCCGAAUGCUAAAUAUAGUUCUCCAUCAGACAGACUGUGGGUGCUAAGGUCCAUGGUCGAGAGGGAAAAAGCCCAGACCACCAGAUAAGGUCCCCAAAUUAUGAUUAAGUGUGAAAGGAUGUGGAAAUUCCUUAACAGCCGGGAGGUUGGCUUAGAAGCAGCCAUCCUUUAAAGAUAGCGUAACAGCUCACCGGUCUAAUAGAGUUUCUGCGCCGAAGAUGUAACGGGGCUAAAAUCAUAUACCGAAUCUGUGGGUUUAUAAAAUUUUCGAAUUUUAUAAGCGGUAGCGACGUUCUGUAAGCCUGUAAAGGAGUACCCGUGAGGGACUCUGGAGGUAUCAGAAGUGCGAAUGCUGACAUAAGUAACGAUAAAUAAAGUGAAAAACUUUAUCGCCGAAAAUCCAAGGGUUUCUGCGCAAGGUUAAUCCGCGCAGAGUUAGUCGGCCCCUAAGGCGAGGGCGAAAGCCGUAGUCGAUGGAAAUAAGGUUAAUAUUCCUUAACCAAGUGGUAGUGACGGAUUUUGUAAGUUGUGAGUUCUUAAUGGAUUGAGCUUUCUGCGAAAAAGUCCCAGGAAAUAGCUCCACUAUUAGACCGUACCCUAAACCGACACAGGUGGAUUAAUAGAGUAUAUUUAGGCGCUUGAGGGAAUGAUGUUGAAGGAACUCGGCAAAAUGCUUCCGUAACUUCGGGAUAAGGAAGACCUGUUUUUAGGCAACUAGAGAUGGGUGGCACAAGCCAGGGAGAAGCGACUGUUUAUCAAAAACACAGGGCUCUGCUAACACGUAAGUGGAUGUAUAGGGUCUGACGCCUGCCCGGUGCUGGAAGGUUAAUGCGGUUGGUGCAAGCUAACUUCUGAAGCCCCAGUAAACGGCGGCCGUAACUAUAACGGUCCUAAGGUA